This 505-nucleotide ribosomal RNA is filed under the name uncultured bacterium. RNAcentral describes it as "partial 16S ribosomal RNA". It matches the Rfam family "Bacterial small subunit ribosomal RNA", at positions 28 to 507 of the family's 1533-position model. The record is from RNAcentral.
GACGAACGCUGGCGGCGUGCCUAAUACAUGCAAGUAGAACGCACAGUCUAUACCGUAGCUUGCUACACCAUAGACUGUGAGUUGCGAACGGGUGAGUAACGCGUAGGUAACCUGCCUGGUAGCGGGGGAUAACUAUUGGAAACGAUAGCUAAUACCGCAUAAUAGUGAUUAUUGCAUGAUAAUUGAUUGAAAGAUGCUAUUGCAUCACUACCAGAUGGACCUGCGUUGUAUUAGCUAGUAGGUGAGGUAACGGCCCACCUAGGCGACGAUACAUAACCGACCUGGGAGGGUGGUCGGCCACCAUGGGACUGGGACCCGGCCCAGACCCCUACGGGGGGCCGCAGUAGGGAAUCUUCGGCAAUGGACGAAAGUCUGACCGAGCAACGCCGCGUGAGUGAAGAAGGUUUUCGGAUCGUAAAGCUCUGUUGUAACAGAAGAACGGGUGUGUGAGUGGAAAGUUCACCUUGUGACGGUAUCUUACCAGAAAGGGACGGCUAACUACGUG